RNAcentral lists this long non-coding RNA (1380 nucleotides) under Malus domestica (apple). Its description in RNAcentral is "long non-coding RNA (MDOM_LNC018317)". The record is from RNAcentral. Lineage: Eukaryota; Viridiplantae; Streptophyta; Magnoliopsida; Rosales; Rosaceae.
AAUUGUUAAAUUAAUAAAUAUAAUUAUUAUAGUUUAUUCCUACUUUUAUUAAGCAUAACAUAAGAUUUUGUGAUAUCCACUAGUGUAAAUAUUUUAAAUUGAAGAUCGAAUUCAUUCUUUGUAUUCAUAUAGGGUCAAGGAGUGUAGCUGUAAAAAAUCAUCAAAAUCGGAGUUAAAAUAACCGUUAAAUCAUGAUUUUCAUUUUAUAACCGUUGAAAAGUUUUGUCCCGUUACUUGAUCUCUGAAUGUUUGUUUUUUGCAAUUUUUGGCGUAUGCGAUCUCAAAGUAUAUACAAACAUGUUUGACGGUUGGAUCUAGUUUCGUAGAAUGCGUGUAUCUCAUCAAAAUAAUAGAUUCACUAACACUUAAAAGUUUAUUCGUACUUUCAUCAAGUAUAACAUAAGAUUUUUUUGUAUCCACUAGUGUAAAUAUUUUAAUUAAAGAUCGAAUUCAAUCAUUGUAUUCAUAUAGGUCAAGGAGUGUAGCUGUAAAAAAUCAUAAAAAUCAGAGUUACAAUGACCGUUAAAUCGUGAUUUUUCUUUUUAUAACCGUCGAAAAGUUUUGUCUCGUUCCUUGAUCUCUGAAUGUUUGUUUUUUUGCAAUUUUUGGCGUAUGCGAUCUCGAAGUAUAUACAAACAUGUUUGACGGUUGGAUCAUUGAAACUAGUUUCGUAGAAUGAGUAUCCCAUCAAAACAAUAGAUUCACUAAUACUUAAGAGUUUAUUCAUACUUUCAUUAAGUAUAACACUAGUGUAAAUAUUUUAAAUUGAAGAUCGAAUUCAUUCAUUGUAUUCAUAUAGGGUCAAGGAGUGUUGCUGUAAAAAAUCAUCAAAAUCGGAGUUAAAAUAACCAUUAAAUCGUGAUUUUUCGUUUAUAACCGUCGAAAAGGUUUGUCCCGUUACUUUAUCUAUGAAUGUUUUUUUUUGCAAUUUUUAGCGUAUACGAUCUCGAAGUAUAUACAAACAUGUUUGAUGGUUGGAUCAUUAAAACUAGUUUCGUAGAAUGAGUAUCCCAUCAAAACAAUAGAUUCACUAAUACUUAAGAGUUUAUUCAUACUUUCAUUAAGUAUAACAUAAGAUUUUGUGAUAUCCACUAGUGUAAAUAUUUUAAAUUGAAGAUCGAAUUCAUUCAUUGUAUUCAUAUAGGAUUAAGGAGUGUAGCUAUAAAAAAUAAUCAAAAUCGGAGUUAAAAUAACCGUUAAAUCGUGAUUUUUCGUUUAUAACCAUCGAAAAGUUUUGUUUGGUUACUUGAUCUCUGAAUGUUUGUUUUUUGCGAUUUUUUGUUGAUACGAUCUCGAAGUAUAUACAAACAAGUUUGACGGUUGGAUCGUUGAAAUUAGUUUUGUAUAAUUUGUAUCCCAUCAAGUUCAAUGGUGUGUGUG